RNAcentral lists this non-coding RNA (642 nucleotides) under Pan troglodytes (chimpanzee). Lineage: Eukaryota; Metazoa; Chordata; Mammalia; Primates; Hominidae. The record is from RNAcentral.
UUUUCUUUAUAUAUGUGGCCUAGCAAUAUCCUGUGUUUGGAAAAGUAUAAACCUAAGGCAUCACCUUUACAGAAAAUAUCUUCCACGGAAACAUCUAAAGGCAAAAAUCCUUCAAAUUCAAAUUUAUCCAAUCAUUUCUUCUGCUUACUACCAUCCUAAAUCAUUUUUCUUUAGUAAGAUCUAUUAGUGGGAAGCUAUUAAGCUAUUAAUGUAUCAUAUUAAUUGUAUUCAGAUAUUAAGUGAGGAGGUAAAGUUGCAUUCACAGGCCUUGAACUUUUCCACAUCUCGAUUUUUACCCAUCAUCUCUGAAUAGUUCCCUAAGGCAGCCUUCAAAUGGUGAUGUUUCUUAUAAUCCAGAGUUCAGAAGUGGCUUCUCUUCAAUCUUUCUGUGGAAUUCUAAACCAUGUGAUAAAGGAGCUGGUGGUCCAUCAUAUGAGGCCACAGAUCAGCCCUGGGGUUCAGAGGGAUCCUGACGGCUACUCCUCAAGAUCCUCUCUGUUGUGAUUCAUCCCCCCCGGGCCCUACAGUUUCUCCUUCCUGACUCUUACAUUUCUUUGGAUGGCAUCAUUAUUUACCUGUCUCCUCCCAUAGUUAGGUGCCAAGCACUGUGGAUUCUGCCCCUCAGUGUCCAGACACCCAUUU